Long non-coding RNA from Falco peregrinus (peregrine falcon), 1844 nucleotides. RefSeq lists it as uncharacterized. The record is from RefSeq and is a predicted model, not a curated record. The transcript is spliced from 3 exons. Lineage: Eukaryota; Metazoa; Chordata; Aves; Falconiformes; Falconidae.
AAUGACACAGUUGCUUAUUAUUGUGCUGAGAUCAGCUGCUGGGACAAGAACAAGAAUUAUUUUUUUCUCAGAAGGAAAAAAAAUAAUAAUGUAUCCCAUUGGGCACCACUGGAGGAACGCUUAGCUAAUGAAGGUGCUAAGCCUGCUGAAACGUUGAAGGUCUUCUUGAUACACAUUGAAUCCUGACCUGGGAUGGAAAGUGAUUUUUGUGAACGUAUUUACAGAAUGACGUGUAAUAGAUCUAGCAAAGGCUGAAGUCUGGUAAUAGUGACUGAUGUAGUACCACAGAGAAAAGAAACCUGAACACUGCUCUCCGAGGAGGCCGAGCGAGGAGUGAGGAAUACAGACGUAAGAAUCAGUGCUUUGGAGGAUGCCCUGUUACUAGAUCCUAAUGUGUGUCAGAAAUGCCAUCUUCAGCUGCGCUGCUAGUGGAGCUCUGCAAAGUCUGCUCCACAAAGAUGUUUGCAGACUGAACAUGGAACCUUUUUGGCUUCAGCAUGCCAUUGGCAGCAGCAGUAUCUCGUUUCCUCCCCUGCUGUCUGUAGGCCAGAAACAUCACUAUCUCCAGCCACGGCAAACUGAAGAACCUAAUCAUCCCUAUCUGUUCUGAAAAAUGUGCACUGUGAGGAGUGUCCCAGAAAUGGUAACUUCCUGAUGUGAGUCAGAUUCUCCAUCCUAAUGUCUGUGGAUGUCUUCUGAAUUUUUAAGCAUUUGUAUUUUUUUUAGUAUUGACAUGUUAUCUUGCAAAAUAAGUUCAUUAGUUGAACAGUGCUCUUUCACAGCAUGGUAGGAGUUACUGCUCCAGGUAAGAGCACUUUCUGGUCUGGUGCCUAUCUUCAGAUUUGCCAGGGGAUGACACCGUAUGGCAAUGGGAAGAUUCUUUAAAAGCCCUAAUUAGGUAUUAAUACAGGUGCUAAUUUCUGCCUUUAAUGUACCUCUGACAAAUUAUUAUCAUACUCCAGUGAAGAGGUUUAAGGCAGGCAGACUGGUGGGGGAUAUGAAAGGGAUGGAGGAUCCUGCUGGACAGCCCAACUCAAACCUUAUAAAUCACUGGAAGUAGGGUUUUGGAGCAGAUUCUGGAUUUGUUCAUAAUUAUGUAAACACAUUUUUAGUUUAAUAGGUAUGAAGAGUAUAAAACAGGGUAAGCAAACUAUAGCUUCAAAGGGAAAUGUUUAAAAAAGUUUGAGAACAUCAGUCCUAAUUAUUGUAUAUGACAUUAAUUUUAAUUUCCAAUUAAACUCUAAGUAGAGGAUAUCUUACACACAUGACUGUUUCUGGUCAUCUGCAUAUUAUGUGAAAGAGCAUGUUUUGCUAUUUUUCAAUGAUAUAUUUAAUGUACUUGAAAAGUUUCAUUUCUCUCUCUGUAGUUCCAACCCAGGUAAGAAAUUCUUUUUUAAACUUCAUAAAUUAGAGAAAUUUCCUAUUAAUUCAUCUGGUAUAGCCAUUGUUAGAAAUGUUAUAUUUUUCCCCCCUUUUAUGUGUUGUGUAAUUGGUGAUUGAUCCAAUUUAGUUCUAAGUGUCAGAAGAAGCAGAAACCCCUCUAAUUUCCAGAACCUGCUCUACAACUUUGUAGACUGUGUAUAUUCCAGUCACAGUCUCUAUCUGUGCAAAAUUUGGAAUAAAUGUAUUGAAGUCAACAAAGCUGUUUUAGUUUAACAUAAUGUAAUAAUAGACUUUGUCCUCGAACUCCAUCUAUCAUUCCAGCACUCGUUAGGCAUUCUGGUUUUGUUCAUAGUAGGAGCCAUCAUAAAGAAAUUGAUUUCCCUCUGUUCACUCAUCCAAUUUAUUGCAAGAGAACUCCAUGUUCAUUUGCCCGUUACGCAGCAUUUUGUGGAGUGAGAAAG